This is a long non-coding RNA of Oryzias melastigma (Indian medaka), 794 nucleotides long. RefSeq lists it as uncharacterized. The record is from RefSeq and is a predicted model, not a curated record. The transcript has 5 exons. Lineage: Eukaryota; Metazoa; Chordata; Actinopteri; Beloniformes; Adrianichthyidae.
UCCUGGGUAAGGUGGUCAAUGCGUGCUUGAGCCUGUUUGUCCAUCUUCACCACAUAUUCCUCUGCCUCAAGCUUGGACAUACAUUCUUGGUCAGAACUCACAAGGUCCUGGAGGACACCUGCAAAACACCAAGGAUUGUAACGUUAAAGAUUACUGACCAGAGUUCCUGAGGUGGAAAACCGUUUGCUGGAAUGUGACCUCUGAGGGCGGGACUAGGAUGAGGAAGCUGAUCCUGUCAAACGAACCCAGGUCCAGGUUCUGUGUGCUGGAGUCUGCGAUGGCACAAACGUGAGACAGGAGCUUUCUGGCCACCGCCAGCUGGAUGGGACGAACCUCACGCCAUUCUGCAGAGUAUUCUACACACAAACACAUGAGUGGUCCUGAAGGAGAAUAGCUUGGUACCUGCAGCAGAGGACCUCCCAGGCUGGUUUACAUGCAGCUGAGCAGACGAGGGAGCGCCAUGGUUGCCGUUGAUCAGUGUGUGAGCGCCAUCCGUUGUUGGUUGCUCCACUUACCUGCUGUCCGUGACGUUAAUGCAGCGCUUGGUGGCUGUUCAUGGGAUGACAGGCUGCUCUCUGAAAGAGUGGGCCUUAUCGGUCUGAUUCUGCCGUCUGAAACAAACAAAUGUGUCAAACAUCAAGAUAUAGAGUGGCCUCGCUGCAAUUACAGGAAAAGAUAAAAGACCAGGAAAGAGAGAAUCAGUGUGUGACAUCGCGUUCAUCUCUUACCGUUUACUCUCCAGCAGAUGGGAGCUCCUUUGACCAGCAUGCCUUGCUUGUUUCUGUACAGGUGGU